Molecule: non-coding RNA, 145 nt
Filed under: Pelagibacterium sp.
Lineage: Bacteria; Pseudomonadati; Pseudomonadota; Alphaproteobacteria; Hyphomicrobiales; Devosiaceae
Description: FMN sequence
Rfam family: FMN riboswitch aptamer (RFN element)
About the family: The RFN element is a highly conserved domain that is found frequently in the 5'-untranslated regions of prokaryotic mRNAs that encode for flavin mononucleotide (FMN) biosynthesis and transport proteins. This element is a metabolite-dependent riboswitch that directly binds FMN in the absence of proteins.
Source: RNAcentral
CAUUGUUCUCAGGGCGGGGCGAAAUUCCCCACCGGCGGUAAAGGUAGCGAUGCCAAGCCCGCGAGCGCCCUCGGUCUCCGAGGGGUCAGCAGAUCCGGUGCAAUUCCGGAGCCGACGGUCAUAGUCCGGAUGAAAGAGAACGGGA